RNAcentral lists this ribosomal RNA (499 nucleotides) under uncultured bacterium. RNAcentral describes it as "bacterial SSU rRNA". It matches the Rfam family "Bacterial small subunit ribosomal RNA", at positions 1012 to 1509 of the family's 1533-position model. The record is from RNAcentral.
AGCUUCCGCAAGGACACUCGUAGAGGUGCUGCAUGGCUGUCGUCAGCUCGUGUCGUGAGAUGUUGGGUUAAGUCCCGCAACGAGCGCAACCCUUGUCUUCUGUUGCCAUCAGGUUAUGCUGGGCACUCUGAAGAGACUGCCGGUGAUAAACCGGAGGAAGGUGGGGAUGACGUCAAGUCGGCAUGGCCUUUAUGUCUGGGGCCACACACGUGCUACAAUGGCAGAUACAAACCGUCGCGAGACCGCAAGGUGGAGCUAAUCGGAUAAAGUCUGUCUCAGUUCGGAUUGCAGGCUGCAACUCGCCUGCAUGAAGUUGGAAUCGCUAGUAAUCGCGGAUCAGCACGCCGCGGUGAAUACGUUCCCGGGCCUUGUACACACCGCCCGUCACAUCACGAAAGCCGGUUGUACUAGAAGUCGCCACACUAACCUGCAAGGGAGGGAGGCGCCUAAGGUAUGGUCGGUGAUUGGGGUGAAGUCGUAACAAGGUAAGCGUAGUGCU